UUCUAAAAGAAAAUUGUUCCACAGUUUUCCAUGCUCAAUCAAAUGAGAUAAAGAAAAAAAUUGAAA
Molecule: long non-coding RNA, 66 nt
Organism: Bradysia coprophila
Lineage: Eukaryota; Metazoa; Arthropoda; Insecta; Diptera; Sciaridae
Source: RefSeq, a predicted model, not a curated record